UACGUAGGGGGCGAAACGUUGUCCGGAUUUACUGGGCGUAAAGGGCACGUAGGCGGCUGAUCAAGUCAGGUGUGAAAGCCCACGGCUUAACCGUGUGAAGUGCAUCUGAAACUGGUCGGCUUGAGUAUCGGAGAGGAAAGUGGAAUUCCCGGUGUAGAGGUGAAAUUCGUAGAUAUCGGGAGGAAUACCGGUGGCGAAGGCGACUUUCUGGACGAAUACUGACGCUGAGGCGCGAAAGCGUGGGGAGCGAACAGGAUUAGAAACCCUGUAGU
RNAcentral lists this ribosomal RNA (272 nucleotides) under uncultured bacterium. Its description in RNAcentral is "partial 16S ribosomal RNA". It matches the Rfam family "Bacterial small subunit ribosomal RNA", at positions 524 to 794 of the family's 1533-position model. The record is from RNAcentral.